GAACCCCUGUUAGGGGAGUGAAAUAGUACCUGAAACCGUUUGCUUACAAGCAGUGGGAGUCUAAGAGCUUACAGUUUAGAAAAAAAAGCUUGAAACCAGUUUAUCUGGUUUCUUUUUUAUUGUUCAAUUUUUAGUUAAUUUUUAACUGACUUUUGAUCAAUAUAGCUUAAUUUCUGGUUUACACUCUCUAAGUCUCUGGAUGACCGCGUGCCUUUUGCAUAAUGAGUCAGCGAGUUACUUAAUGC
This 245-nucleotide ribosomal RNA is filed under the name Ctenophora environmental sample. Its description in RNAcentral is "partial Bacterial large subunit ribosomal RNA". It matches the Rfam family "Bacterial large subunit ribosomal RNA", at positions 521 to 638 of the family's 2925-position model. Lineage: Eukaryota; Metazoa; Ctenophora. The record is from RNAcentral.